UAUAGCUCACGUGGUAGAGCGUAUGCUUAGCAUGCACAAGAUCCUGGGUUCAAUCCCCUGUA
This 62-nucleotide transfer RNA is filed under the name Camelus bactrianus (Bactrian camel). It matches the Rfam family "tRNA", at positions 6 to 65 of the family's 71-position model. Rfam says of the family: Transfer RNA (tRNA) molecules are approximately 80 nucleotides in length. Lineage: Eukaryota; Metazoa; Chordata; Mammalia; Artiodactyla; Camelidae. RNAcentral also lists the same sequence under 2 other names. The record is from Rfam by way of RNAcentral.